GCCGGGAUAGCUCAGUUGGUAGAGCAGGGGACUGAAAAUCCCCGUGUCGGCGGUUCAAUUCCGUCUCCCGGCACCA
This 76-nucleotide transfer RNA is filed under the name candidate division BRC1 bacterium HGW-BRC1-1. RNAcentral's name for it is "tRNA-Phe". It matches the Rfam family "tRNA". From Rfam's summary of the family: Transfer RNA (tRNA) molecules are approximately 80 nucleotides in length. Their secondary structure includes four short double-helical elements and three loops (D, anti-codon, and T loops). The record is from RNAcentral. Lineage: Bacteria; Candidatus Sumerlaeota.